AAUGCAUGAAAACGAAAUAAAACUGUAUAAAUAAAUAAAUAUUUAUAUAUAUAUAUAUAUAUAAAUUUUUACCUGAAUUUUCCGAGAAAAAAACAUUCUUGGUAAUAGCUGAGAGAAAUCAUGGCUGAAAAGUAGGGUUAAGCAUAUCCUGCUCCUCCAGGAUAUGGAGGAUAUCAUGGGCCGCCGGUGAUGGCGCCUCCUCACUACAUUGGCUUCCCACCACCAAGAAGGGAACCUGGCUUUCUUGAGACCUGCCUCGCACUUUUAUGUUACUGUUGCCUGCUGGAUGCAUGUUGCUGGCCCUGCUGCGACUCCAUCUUCCUCAUGUAGCUCAUCCACGGUUCGCCCGAUUCAUCGCCCGUGUCAGUCAGGAGCUUCGGGCUUCAUAGUUUUUUAUGCAAUGGCUUAGCUGGUUUCUCCCACAUAGUGAACCCUACUCGCCUCCUCCUAUCUUCGGUAGGUUAUAAGCAGAUCGUCGUAUAUGUGUUUGAACUCGGGACAUUUGGUAAUGUGAUCUCAUAUCCGGUUGCCCCAUG
Molecule: non-coding RNA, 536 nt
Organism: Punica granatum (pomegranate)
Lineage: Eukaryota; Viridiplantae; Streptophyta; Magnoliopsida; Myrtales; Lythraceae
Source: RefSeq, a predicted model, not a curated record